Molecule: non-coding RNA, 4585 nt
Organism: Microcebus murinus (gray mouse lemur)
Lineage: Eukaryota; Metazoa; Chordata; Mammalia; Primates; Cheirogaleidae
Source: RefSeq, a predicted model, not a curated record
AUCCUUUAAUCUCAGAAUUAUUGAGAUUAAACUGCGAAUAGUUUAGACUUGAAUUUUCAAAAUGUAUUUCUUUUUAAAUACACUGAUCUAUUCCAAUUUGCUUCUCAAACAAUGCUGUUCUUUUCUAAGGGGUUUUCAGAAUUGAAUCUGGCUUCCCGGGCUAUAGGCAGGACAGGGGGUUGUGUAUACUGAGUCAUAAAUUAAUGCAUUUACAACUGCUCUAAAGUGAUUACUAUGGACUGAAUCUCAAGUGCUUCACAGUUAUAUUAUUCUUACACUUAUAAUUACCUGGAAAGGUGUUUAGAUGGCUUGCACUAUUUAUGGGCCAUAAAUGCUUGGUGUAACCAAUAUUUUAUCUGCCACGUCUUAUUUAUUUCCAUUGUGGAUGCAAAGUAUCAGAGCAAUUUAAGAUCUUACUGAGUGAGAAAAUUGGAAAGGAAUAGUAACCUGGUAUCUGUCAUUAUUUUAUUCCAGCUAAAUAAAAUAAAAAAUAUCAAGCUACCCAGGGAGGCCCACAUCACACUUUUCACAUGCAGAACAGUAAGACCUUUCAUCUAUUCAUCAGUUUAUGGACAUUUUUUUUCUGUUUGAAACUAAGUUUGUGGUAAUUUGUUACAACAGCAAUAGAAAAUUAAUACAACAUCUCACUGGUUUUUUUUUCCCUAAAAAAAACAACAUUACAUCAGUCUCUUCCUCACCCAUAAAGCUGGGCAAGAAGAUGUGCCUGUGUCCCCAGCCUCCCUGCUCUGCUUGACCUCAGUCAUCUGAGAUUUCUGGGGCUCUCGUCUUCAUCUGGGUUAUGAAGUCACACAUUGGAAUUGAGAGUUUUGAAGAAAUUCUGAUGGCAGGUUCCUCCCUGAGAAAUGAUUUAAUUACUUAGGUGAAUCUCAUGAACAGAUCUCCCCAUAUCCUCUCGACUGAGGGGGAAUGUUUGGAAACACAGAAUCCUGCAAACCAUCUGUCUGCGCCAAAAACGAAAGGAAUCACUUUUACGUAGCUUAUGGGAAGACCAGGAUCAGACCGAACUUCCAGACAUUUCAGUGGGGAGGGUCGACUAGAACUUGCUGUGAGAAUUCCUGUAUUGCUCGAAAGGAUCUCUUGGGUUGAAAGUCACAGAAGCCAGGUUGCGAGGGCUUGAGCCAAAGGAGGGCUGUGUUGUAAGGGACGGUGUGAGGGUGUCCCCGGACAGGCAUGGAGCUGGUUCCAGGCACUGGCCUUCCCUGCCUCCCUGGGCACACGUGUGAUGGGGCAGCUAGUCCGCAGGAGCUCCUUGAGUGCACCCUUCCUUACCGUCAGGACCGGGGACCAGGCGGCUGGCUCUGAGUUCUGAUUCUAAUAAUCUCUGGGAAGAUAGAUGGUGAUUGGCCCAGCUGUGGCCGAGGAGACCAAGAACAAUUGUGAAGCACACAUUGUGUCAGCGAGCAGAAGAAGUGCUGGGGAGGACGGACUAGCCAGGGAGGGGAACAGGGACUCCAGCUGCUUUUCGUCUUAAGAAAUCAUUGCCUACCUCGUGUAUCCCAAGUUUUAAGGAAAGCACUUCCAGCCUAAGUGAAGAGUCAGUCGUGUAUUUUAUUUAAAAAAAAAAAAGUGCAGUGUGCACCCUACUCAGCUACUUUACCCUGUCAUUGCUGGCUCCAAGCAGGUCAAAGCACAUCUUGACUUCCUCUUAGCAGAGAACAUGAUCAGACUGCGGUGAUUUAAGUGUCAGGAGAAACGUGGAAACAGUGAGGAAGAAGGAAGCGUUGUUCAGAAAAGCGACGCGGGCCGCGCUCUUGUGAGGCGCCGCGACCCGAGCACCACCGAGAGGAACGUUGCAGAAGGUGUCUCUGAAUGCUGAGCUGGCCGGGCCGUUUUCUCUCAGACGCUAAUUGCCCCGCUGACCUAAAUAGAGCUGCUGCUGGUGGUGCUUCGCUUGCAGCCGCUCCUGAGCGGGGAGCUUGGUUUUCAGCCAACCUCAGCACAAAGAGUAAUUGCCAAGAGCCAGAAUGAUCAGGUGUGUGCCUACCUGGGAGUAAUGAGGGGCAGGAGAUUUGAACGGACAGAGAAAGUAUAAUAGCUUUCCCACGACGGCCCUCCCCUUUCUGGGACCCCAUUCUGAAGCCACAUUCACUCACAAAGAAGCUUCAUCCUUGGUCCUAGAAGGUGUCGGUGGCUGCCCGGGACUUUCCAAAUAAAUGCCAUUGUGCCCAGAUGACCCCACUGCCAUCUGGUCGCCAUUCCUGACGGCUAGAUGAAAAGCCCUCGGUCUGCACUCUUACUCUGGGGGCCACCCAGCAAAAAUUUGGGAAGAAGUAACGGCAUUAAAACUCAGAGUGCAUUUAAUAACUCCGACAGCAAACAGAGCAGCUAGAUUUAUUCAACUCUCAGAACAAACGUGAUAUUAAGUGGUGCUCACAGAAUACAUCUUGGGAUCAAAAUAAAGCCUUUCUCUUAGACCUGCAUGAUAUAAUGGAAUUCAUGCUAUAAAUUAAAGAUUAGUAUAUGUAUUUGUUUUGACUCAAAAUGCAGGAUGACAGCAAAUGGAUUACCUGACAGAUGUACAGGGAAAUUGCAUUAGGCUGACCCAGGUAACAUAAACAAAGAUGGCUAAUAAGAAAAGUGAUAAAAUUCUAGGCAACAGGGUUUCAAAAAGAGCAUUGAUCUAAUAGAAUUGCCAACAAAGGAACACAUAGAGAAUGUUGGAAAUAAUACCACCAAGAGAAACAGCUUCACUUGCUGAAGUCCCACAGACUCUGGGUAUGAAAAAAUUACUUGGGAUUAGAAUUAAAAGAACUUAAAGAAGCUGAGAGGCUGAGUAUCAGAAAUAAGAUAUUGUACAUCAUUUAUUUUUCUUUGGGUACUCAAACUGGAAUGCAAGGAGAGUCUAGACACUCUCUCUGUCUCUGUCUCUCUUUCUCUGUCUCUGUGGGUUCGAGAGAACCUUUGAGUCCAUUAUUAAUUCAUUCCACAGAUAUUUAUGAACCCAACCUCACCAUACUUCCCAACACAGCAGUCUGCGGUGUGGGUGUUAUUCAGGCCCCCAGACCUGGCCUGCAGGAGGAAAUCUAUUCACCAUCUCCGGUGUGACCCCAGCUUGAAUGUCACCUCCUCCAUGAAGCCUCCCCUGCUUUCCUGAGCAGGAUCAGUCCCUCCUCAUCUCUGAUCCCAUAGCAUUUUAUCCACAAUCUGCAGCAUGACUCUUGCCAAUGUUCUGUUUGCUUAUUUGUUUCCUGCGAAUCCUCUCCAUGGCACAUGGCCGGUACCCAAUAUUUUUGAAUAAAUGAUUAGUCUGGACACAAAAUGGAGAUAAGGGUUAUGAAAGCCAUGCCCAGAUGAGACCCAGAGACUGCAGUUGAAGGGCUCUUGGAGAAACACAAGCCCUGUUUCUCUCUCCUGCCUAGCGGCUGACUGGGGACAGGAUGGGAAGGAAAUCCUUUCCCUGUCUGCUUUGAAAUGCCACCACCUGUCACCACCUCAUCACCUCCCUGGUGCGGGAGAUUCUGCCCUCAUCUAUUUUAAGAACAAGCACAUUUGAGAAAGCGCGGUUUUCAAUAAGCUCUGGCCCAUACUGUAGGAAUGGCCCUCUAGGUCUCAGCAGUUGCACAGUUUCUACGACUGUACCGCUGAGUGAUGGGUUCUACUAAUUAAAGAUGAUAUUGCAAUCAGCUUUCCAUUCUGAACACGGGGAAAAAAAAGUUGUCCACAGGGUCUAGUAGAAGUUUAUCACCUGUUUUAUUUUGCUAAUGGAUCGUACUCCCAACCACCAUUACCUGUAAGCGAGCCCACUCUUAAUUAAGGGGGAAGCUAUUAAAAUAGUUUUGCAGUCAUAGAAAUAUUGCUCUUUCUGCAGGAGUGGUCUUACUUAGAUACUCAUCUGUGGUUUGCAAUUUUUUUGAGACCCAACCCUCUUGGUACUUGAAAUAAUACAAAAAAAAUCAAUUAAAAACCCUUAUGAGGUCAACUGGCCUUAGAAAACUAUAGGUAAACAAAAAUGCAUUCAUGUAGGCUAUCCAGGAAGCCUUGAUUGGAAGGGGGGGAUGUUCAGGCAUGUUGGGAAAUGUCAAACUUUUUUGUUUUUGAUUUAAAAAAUGGGUUGAAUCUUCCCAGUACUAUUGGCACAGACAACAUAUUUUUAAAACAUUUUCAGGUAGAAGACUUCCUUCUAGAAUCUACAUCUAUGUGAUAGAGCCCACAGGGAUUUUAUAGCUUUAGAAAGAGCGGUUAUAAUAUGCACUACAAUACCAAAAACAGCAGCCAGCAUUACUUUGGCCUGGCAUGAAGAGCACCUUCCUACUAAUCUGCAUGGGCAACCUCUAAUGCAAUAUCACUGUAUUUAAGAAACUGAAAAUAAUAGAUACCACCCAAAUUAGUAACAAAGCACCAAGAAUCACAUUAUUUCACAGCUGGUUUGCUGGAUAGAUUGUAAACUUAGUUGAUGUUACAAUUCCAUUCCAGAGCCAAUUUAUUUAGCCAAGAAAAUAAAAAUGCCAGUGAUUUUCAGCCAACUUACCCUGACAUCAGGAUAUAAACUAAAGAGACACAGAACAUUAUAUAUGAGUCUUUUUAACAAAUAUGACCCAAACUUAUCCUUAUGUUAUUUCUGUGA